RNAcentral lists this ribosomal RNA (317 nucleotides) under uncultured bacterium. RNAcentral describes it as "bacterial SSU rRNA". It matches the Rfam family "Bacterial small subunit ribosomal RNA", at positions 28 to 334 of the family's 1533-position model. The record is from RNAcentral.
GACGAACGCUGGCGGCGUGCCUAAUACAUGCAAGUAGAACGCUGAGGACUGGUGCUUGCACUGGCCUAAGGAGUUGCGAACGGGGGAGUAACGCGUAGGCAAUCUACCUCAUAGCGGGGGAUAACUAUUGGAAACGAUAGCUAAUACCGCAUGACAAUAGGGUACACAUGUACCCUAUUUAAAAGGGGCAAAUGCUUCACUAUGAGAUGGACCUGCGUUGUAUUAGCUAGUUGGUAAGGUAACGGCUUACCAAGGCAAUGAUGCAUAGCCGAGUUGAGAGACUAAUCGGCCACAUUGGGACUGAGACACGGACCCAA